AGGGUUCGAUUCUGGCUCAGGAUGAACGCUGGCGGCGUGCAUAACACAUUCAAGUCGAACGGGCAGUAUUCCUUCGGGGGUGCUGCUAGUGGCGGACGGGUGAGUAACGCGUGAGCAACCUGCCUCUGUGAGUGGAAUAACACAGGGAAACUUGUGCUAAUACCGCAUGACGAAGCGAAGCCGCAUGACUUUGCUUCCAAAGAUUUAUCGCACAGAGAUGGGCUCGCGUCCGAUUAGGCAGUUGGUGAGGUAACGGCUCACCAAACCGACGACCGGUAGCCGGACUGAGAGGUUGAACGGCCACAUUGGAACUGAGAUACGGUCCAGACUCCUACGGGAGGCAGCAGUGGGGAAUAUUGGGCAAUGGGCCGCAAGCCUGACCCAGCGACGCCGCGUGAGGGAAGAAGGUCUUCGGAUUGUAAACCUCUUUGACAGGGGACGAAGUAAGUGACGGUACCCUGAAAACAAGCCACGGCUAACUACGUGCCAGCCGCCGC
RNAcentral lists this ribosomal RNA (497 nucleotides) under uncultured bacterium. RNAcentral's name for it is "bacterial SSU rRNA". It matches the Rfam family "Bacterial small subunit ribosomal RNA", at positions 8 to 518 of the family's 1533-position model. The record is from RNAcentral.